Molecule: ribosomal RNA, 301 nt
Filed under: uncultured bacterium
Lineage: Bacteria
Description: partial 16S ribosomal RNA
Rfam family: Bacterial small subunit ribosomal RNA
Source: RNAcentral
CAGUAGCCACGGUAAUACGGAGGGUGCAAGCGUUACUCGGAAUCACUGGGCGUAAAGGACGCGUAGGCGGAUUAUCAAGUCUCUUGUGAAAUCUAACGGCUUAACCGUUAAACUGCUUGGGAAACUGAUAAUCUAGAGUAAGGGAGAGGCAGAUGGAAUUCUUGGUGUAGGGGUAAAAUCCGUAGAUAUCAAGAAGAAUACCUAUUGCGAAGGCGAUCUGCUGGAACUUAACUGACGCUAAUGCGUGAAAGCGUGGGGAGCAAACAGGAUUAGAUACCCCCGUAGUCCCUGUCUCUUAUAC